RNAcentral lists this ribosomal RNA (716 nucleotides) under uncultured bacterium. RNAcentral describes it as "bacterial SSU rRNA". It matches the Rfam family "Bacterial small subunit ribosomal RNA", at positions 777 to 1500 of the family's 1533-position model. The record is from RNAcentral.
AUUAGAUACCCUGGUAGUCCACGCAGUAAACGAUGAAUACUAAUUGUUCGGUUCGAUUGAGAGCUGAGUGAUACAGCGAAAGCGUUAAGUAUUCCACCUGGGGAGUACGCCGGCAACGGUGAAACUCAAAGGAAUUGACGGGGGCCCGCACAAGCGGAGGAACAUGUGGUUUAAUUCGAUGAUACGCGAGGAACCUUACCCGGGCUCAAACGACACAGGAAUAAUUUUGAAAGGAGUUAGCCCUACGGGGCCUGUGUCGAGGUGCUGCAUGGUUGUCGUCAGCUCGUGCCGUGAGGUGUCGGCUUAAGUGCCAUAACGAGCGCAACCCCUGCGGGCAGUUGCUAACGGAUAAAGCCGAGGACUCUGCCCGGACUGCCGGCGCAAGCCGCGAGGAAGGCGGGGAUGACGUCAAAUCAGCACGGCCCUUACGUCCGGGGCGACACACGUGUUACAAUGGGGCGGCACAGAGGGAAGCCAUGUGGCGACACAGCGCGGAACCCGAAAACGCCUCUCAGUUCGGAUCGGAGUCUGCAACCCGACUCCGUGAAGCUGGAUUCGCUAGUAAUCGCGCAUCAGCCAUGGCGCGGUGAAUACGUUCCCGGGCCUUGUACACACCGCCCGUCAAGCCAUGGGAGCCGGGAGCGCUUGAAGUGCGUCGCCGCGAGGCGCGCCCUAGAGCGAGACCGGUGACUGGGGCUAAGUCGUAACAAGGUAGC